UCAAAAACUUAGUCUCAGUUCGGAUUGUAGGCUGAAACUCGCCUACAUGAAGCUGGAGUUGCUAGUAAUCGCGAAUCAGCAUGUCGCGGUGAAUACGUUCCCGGGCCUUGUACACACCGCCCGUCACACCAUGAGAGUUGGCAAUACCCAACGUACGUGAUCUAACCCGCAAGGGAGGAAGCGUCCUAAGGUAGGGUCAGCGAUUGGGGUGAAGUCGUAACAAGGUAGC
This 229-nucleotide ribosomal RNA is filed under the name uncultured bacterium. RNAcentral's name for it is "partial 16S ribosomal RNA". It matches the Rfam family "Bacterial small subunit ribosomal RNA", at positions 1274 to 1500 of the family's 1533-position model. The record is from RNAcentral.